This 117-nucleotide ribozyme is filed under the name Aedes aegypti (yellow fever mosquito). Its description in RNAcentral is "drz-agam-1 ribozyme". It matches the Rfam family "drz-agam-1 ribozyme". The record is from Rfam by way of RNAcentral. Lineage: Eukaryota; Metazoa; Arthropoda; Insecta; Diptera; Culicidae.
UGCCCAGCAACUCCUAUCCCUACCUCCUCGCGGUAGUGGCCGGGGUACGAAUAACCUUAGGGAAGAUCGGGUAACCAACCCCCGGUGGGAACUUUGGUCGUAUGCUGACAGGGAAGG